RNAcentral lists this ribosomal RNA (1459 nucleotides) under human gut metagenome. Its description in RNAcentral is "bacterial LSU rRNA". It matches the Rfam family "Bacterial large subunit ribosomal RNA", at positions 764 to 2203 of the family's 2925-position model. The record is from RNAcentral.
CAAUGGAGGACCGAACCCACAUCCGUUGAAAAGGGUGGGGAUGAGGUGUGGAUAGCGGAGAAAUUCCAAUCGAACCCGGAGAUAGCUGGUUCUCCCCGAAAUAGCUUUAGGGCUAGCGUUGGCUUAGAUUACCGGAGGUAAAGCACUGAAUGGGCUAGGGGCCGAGAGGUUACUGAACCCUAUCAAACUCAGAAUGCCAGAUAAUUGAUGUAUGGGAGUCAGACAGUGUGAGAUAAGUUUCAUUGUCAAAAGGGAAACAGCCCAGACCCACAGCUAAGGUCCCAAAGAUACGCUAAGUGGAAAACGAUGUGGAGUUGCGAAAACAACCAGGAUGUUGGCUUAGAAGCAGCCACUCAUUAAAAGAGUGCGUAAUAGCUCACUGGUCGAGUGACCCUGCGCCGAAAAUUUAACGGGGCUAAAUCAUACACCGAAGCUUGGGAUUGACAGAUAUUCUUCAUGUUUUCAGGCAGAAAAGGAAAGAGAGGAAAUCUGAUGGCGCCGAAGAAUGAGGCGGCAUUAAAUUUCUGUUCAAGUAAAAGCAUGAAGAUGUGAAGAAUAUCUGUCGAUGGUAGGAGAGCGUUCUAUGUGGGGAGAAGUCUGAGCGGAAGCGCAGGUGGACUGCAUAGAAGUGAGAAUGCCGGAAUGAGUAGCGCGAAAUAUGUGAGAAUCAUAUUGGCCGAAAGUCUAAGGUUUUUGGAGGAAGGUUCGUCCGCUCCAAGUUAGUCGGGAGCUAAGGUGAGGCCGAAAGGCGUAGCCGAUGCACAUACGGUAGAAAUUCCGUAGCCUCUGAAAGAUUUAAGCACAAGGACACUUGAGAAGCGUUUAUCCGGGAGUUGGUAUUCCCGGUCGUAAGGGACCCCGAAUGGGGGAAGUAAAUGUGGAUUGAGGCAAGAAAAGUUGUGUGAAUAUCUGAAGAGCCCGUACCGCAAACCGACACAGGUAGAUAGGAAGAGAAUUCUAAGGCCAACGGGAGAAGGGUUGUUAAGGAACUCGGCAAGUUGACCCCGUAACUUCGGAAGAAGGGGUGCUCUGGAAACAGAGCCGCAGAGAAUAGGUCCAGGCGACUGUUUAGCAAAAACACAGCUCUAUGCUAAAUCGAAAGAUGAUGUAUAUGGGGUGACACCUGCCCGGUGCUGGAAGGUUAAGAGGAGAUGUGCAAGCAUUGAAUCGAAGCCCCAGUGAACGGCGGCCGUAACUAUAACGGUCCUAAGGUAGCGAAAUUCCUUGUCAGGUAAGUUCUGACCCGCAUGAAAGGCGUAAUGAUUUGGGCACUGUCUCAACAGCCCGCCCGGCGAAAUUGUAGUACCGGUGAAGAUGCCGGUUACCCGCGACAAGACGGAAAGACCCCAUGGAGCUUUACUGUAGCUUGAUAUUGGGUUUCGGUAAUUUAUGUACAGGAUAGGCGGGAGACUAGGAAGCCAGUACGCCAGUAUUGGUGGAGUCGUCCUUGGGAUACCGC